This 472-nucleotide ribosomal RNA is filed under the name Mogibacterium timidum. RNAcentral describes it as "bacterial SSU rRNA". It matches the Rfam family "Bacterial small subunit ribosomal RNA", at positions 28 to 500 of the family's 1533-position model. The record is from RNAcentral. Lineage: Bacteria; Bacillati; Bacillota; Clostridia; Peptostreptococcales; Anaerovoracaceae.
GAUGAACGCUGGCGGCGUGCCUAAUACAUGCAAGUCGAGCGAGAAGCUUGGAAAUGACGCUUCGGUUGAUUUUUCAAGCGGACAGCGGCGGACGGGUGAGUAACGCGUAGGCAACCUGCCCCUGACAGAGGGAUAGCCAUUGGAAACGAUGAUUAAAACCUCAUGACACCGUAGUAGCACAUGCUACAUCGGUCAAAGAUUUAUCGGUCAGGGAUGGGCCUGCGUCUGAUUAACUGGUUGGUGAGGUAACGGCUCACCAAGGUGACGAUCAGUAGCCGACCUGAGAGGGUGAUCGGCCACAUUGGAACUGAGACACGGUCCAAACUUCUACGGAAGGCAGCAGUAGGGAAUCUUGCACAAUGGGCGAAAGCCUGAUGCAGCAACGCCGCGUGAAGGAUGAAGGCCUUCGGGUUGUAAAUUCUGUUCUAAGGGAAGAAAGAAAUGACGGUACCUUAGGAGCGAGCCCGGCUAA